RNAcentral lists this ribosomal RNA (490 nucleotides) under uncultured bacterium. RNAcentral describes it as "partial 16S ribosomal RNA". It matches the Rfam family "Bacterial small subunit ribosomal RNA", at positions 28 to 507 of the family's 1533-position model. The record is from RNAcentral.
GAUGAACGCUAGCUACAGGCUUAACACAUGCAAGUCGCGGGGCAGCAUGGGGGUUGCUUGCAAUCCCCGAUGGCGACCGGCGCACGGGUGAGUAACGCGUAUCCAACCUGCCCUUCACCACGGGAUAACCCGGCGAAAGUCGGACUAAUACCGUAUGUUGUCCAUUGACGGCAUCCGAUUUGGACGAAAGGUUUGGCGGUGAAGGAUGGGGAUGCGUCCGAUUAGCUGGACGGCGGGGUGACGGCCCACCGUGGCGACGAUCGGUAGGGGUUCUGAGAGGAAGGUCCCCCACACUGGAACUGAGACACGGUCCAGACUCCUACGGGAGGCAGCAGUGAGGAAUAUUGGUCAAUGGGCGUAAGCCUGAACCAGCCAAGUAGCGUGAAGGAUGACGGCCCUAUGGGUUGUAAACUGCUUUUAUGCGGGGAUAAAGUGGCCCACGUGUGGGUUUUUGCAGGUACCGCAUGAAUAAGGACCGGCUAAUUCCGUG